UUGGAAAGCAAUGGUCUGGAUUUCAGAUUCGGAGACACGAGACUCGUAGAAUUUGGCGAUGAAAGCAGAGGCCUUCCUGUCAAUGUCAGGUUCAGCAACCCAACGGUCUUUGUCUUCGUCGCUGUGUUGUACUCUUCUCA
Telopea speciosissima is the source of this 140-nucleotide long non-coding RNA. RefSeq lists it as uncharacterized. NCBI's taxonomy places the organism in Eukaryota, Viridiplantae, Streptophyta, Magnoliopsida, Proteales, Proteaceae. The transcript has 3 exons. The record is from RefSeq and is a predicted model, not a curated record.